RNAcentral lists this ribosomal RNA (467 nucleotides) under uncultured bacterium. RNAcentral describes it as "partial 16S ribosomal RNA". It matches the Rfam family "Bacterial small subunit ribosomal RNA", at positions 28 to 506 of the family's 1533-position model. The record is from RNAcentral.
GACGAGCGCUGGCGGCGUGCUUAACACAUGCAAGUCGAACGGAAAGGCCCUGCUUUUGUGGGGUGCUCGAGUGGCGAACGGGUGAGUAACACGUGAGUAACCUGCCCUUGACUUUGGGAUAACUUCAGGAAACUGGGGCUAAUACCGGAUAGGAGCUCCUGCUGCAUGGUGGGGGUUGGAAAGUUUCGGCGGUUGGGGAUGGACUCGCGGCUUAUCAGCUUGUUGGUGGGGUAGUGGCUUACCAAGGCUUUGACGGGUAGCCGGCCUGAGAGGGUGACCGGCCACAUUGGGACUGAGAUACGGCCCAGACUCCUACGGGAGGCAGCAGUGGGGAAUAUUGCACAAUGGGCGGAAGCCUGAUGCAGCAACGCCGCGUGCGGGAUGACGGCCUUCGGGUUGUAAACCGCUUUCGCCUGUGACGAAGCGUGAGUGACGGUAAUGGGUAAAGAAACACCGGCUAACUACGU